Molecule: ribosomal RNA, 253 nt
Filed under: uncultured bacterium
Lineage: Bacteria
Description: partial 16S ribosomal RNA
Rfam family: Bacterial small subunit ribosomal RNA
Source: RNAcentral
UACGUAGGGUGCGAGCGUUGUCCGGAAUUACUGGGCGUAAAGAGCUCGUAGGUGGUUUGUCGCGUUGUUCGUGAAAACUCACAGCUUAACUGUGGGCGUGCGGGCGAUACGGGCAGACUAGAGUUCGGCAGGGGAGACUGGAAUUCCUGGUGUAGCGGUGAAAUGCGCAGAUAUCAGGAGGAACACCGGUGGCGAAGGCGGGUCUCUGGGCCGAUACUGACGCUGAGGAGCGAAAGCGUGGGGAGCGAACAGG